RNAcentral lists this small RNA (75 nucleotides) under Xanthomonas citri. RNAcentral describes it as "sX9 sRNA". It matches the Rfam family "Xanthomonas sRNA sX9". RNAcentral also lists the same sequence under 4 other names. Lineage: Bacteria; Pseudomonadati; Pseudomonadota; Gammaproteobacteria; Lysobacterales; Lysobacteraceae. The record is from RNAcentral.
GCGUACCACUCUUUCGUUGUGGUUCCGCGCGCACCGUCCACACCCUGGAUGAUCGCUCGCUACGUUUUGUUCGCC